This is a non-coding RNA of Rattus norvegicus (Norway rat), 622 nucleotides long. NCBI's taxonomy places the organism in Eukaryota, Metazoa, Chordata, Mammalia, Rodentia, Muridae. The record is from RefSeq and is a predicted model, not a curated record.
GGCCACUUCCUAACCUCUACUCAGUUACUCCACCUCUGGCCAAAAAUGCCAAGUUGUUACUUACUAAAUUCUAAAUUCUAUAUUCUUACUAAAUUCUAAAUACUAUAUUCUAUAUUCUAUAUUGGGCAGCCCUCUGGCCACACUCUCCCAGCUCCUUCACAUGGCUUUACGACUCCUGUCCUCCACUCCUUGUAGGCAUGGCAUCGCCUCUCCUCCACACUCUCCCAGGAUCUCUUCCUUUUCUUCUCUUCUCUUGUUUUACUGAUCUUGGCCAUUCUGAACAGGAUCUGACUACUUCAGACACAUGAUGUAUGACAACAUACAAAGGAGGAAGUGCCUUUUGGUAACUGAUUUAUUUCAAUGAGCUGUCUCCCAUGAUGAUGAUGACCAAGAUGUGCAGAGGUCUAUUGUUGGUAAGCUACAGACCUAGAAGAGCUGACAAUUACAUACUUCCAGCCCCAAAGCCAGAAGCCAUGGGACCCAAGAAGAGUAGAUGCUUCAUUUCAAGUCUCAAGGCAGGAAGAGUGAGGCAGAAGGCAUACCCUUAGUUAACCUUUUCAUUCUAUUAUUUCUAUUAUAUAUUAUAUUUCUAUUCAUUCUAUUAUAUUCUAUUAAUAUAAUA